UAGAGUGGCGCACGGGUGAGUAACGCGUGGAUAAUCUACCUAUUGGUACGGGACAACAGUUGGAAACGACUGCUAAUACCGUAUAAGCUGGAAACGGGAAAGGGGGCCUCUUCUUGAAAGCUCUCGCCAGUAGAUGAGUCCGCGUUUCAUUAGCUAGACGGUGGGGUAACGGCCUACCGUGGCAACGAUGAAUAGCAGGCCUGAGAGGGUGGCCUGCCACACUGGGACUGGAACACGGCCCAGACUCCUACGGGAGGCAGCAGUGGGGAAUAUUGCGCAAUGGACGAAAGUCUGACGCAGCGACGCCGCGUGGAGGAUGAAGGUUUUCGGAUCGUAAACUCCUGUCAAGAGGGAAGAAACCUAUUAAGAAUAAUACUCUUAGUAAUUGACGGUACCUCUAGAGGAAGCACCGGCUAAUUCAGUGCCAGCAGCCGCGGUAAUACUGAAGGUGCAAGCGUUAAUCGGAAUCACUGGGCGUAAAGCGCUCGUAGGUGGCUUUGUAAGUCAGAUGUGAAAGCCCACGGCUCAACCGUGGAAUUGCAUUUGAUACUGCAUCGCUAGAGUAUAGGAGAGGGAAGUGGAAUUUCUGGUGUAGGAGUGAAAUCCGUAGAGAUCAGAAGGAACACCGGUGGCGAAGGCGACUUCCUGGACUAUUACUGACACUGAGGAGCGAAAGCGUGGGGAGCAAACAGGAUUAGAUACCCUGGUAGUCCACGCCGUAAACGAUGGGUACUAAGUGUCGGAGGCUUGACCUUCGGUGCUGUAGUUAACGCGUUAAGUACCCCGCCUGGGGA
RNAcentral lists this ribosomal RNA (794 nucleotides) under Desulfovibrio sp. PR9_B12. RNAcentral describes it as "bacterial SSU rRNA". It matches the Rfam family "Bacterial small subunit ribosomal RNA", at positions 91 to 879 of the family's 1533-position model. Lineage: Bacteria; Pseudomonadati; Thermodesulfobacteriota; Desulfovibrionia; Desulfovibrionales; Desulfovibrionaceae. The record is from RNAcentral.